GUUUUUAUCUCUCUCUCCUCCAAUUAUUCUAAGAAGGAGAAAAGUUUUAGGCAAAGAUAAAUGCAAAUUAUCCAGUAAAUUCAAAUAUAUUACUUCCCAGAUCUCCUGUCUGGGUAAAUCUGGGUAAAUCACAACUAUAGAUAAUAAGAUAAUUAAAAACUAGUAAAUAUAAAUGUGAGGUGCCUUCUACCAUUAAGCUCAGGAAAUGUAUCUGAUUAUGAAACACUGUGUAUUUUGAAAUGUCAUAUCAAUUAUAAGAGACACUUUUACAGAUCUCCCUAAGAAAUAUUUACAUAGAACUAUAUUUUUAUACACUAUGUAAAAUAAUGAAGUGUAUAUUUAAUUAAAACUGUAAAUAAGACCAAAGGUAUGCUAUAAGCGUGAAAUAUGCAAGCAUAAAAAAUCUUAGCAAAAUUUUAAAUCAAUUUCACUUUGAAUUAUAUUGG
RNAcentral lists this long non-coding RNA (446 nucleotides) under Homo sapiens (human). RNAcentral's name for it is "HSALNT0269311". The record is from RNAcentral. Lineage: Eukaryota; Metazoa; Chordata; Mammalia; Primates; Hominidae.